This 1536-nucleotide long non-coding RNA is filed under the name Gallus gallus (chicken). Its description in RNAcentral is "long non-coding RNA NONGGAT001342". The record is from RNAcentral. Lineage: Eukaryota; Metazoa; Chordata; Aves; Galliformes; Phasianidae.
UGGGCGCAUUUCCCAGGCACUUCAGCACCUUUCUGUCCUCAGCUUAUGCCUUCCUUCCUGCGAAGGGAAGAGAGGAGGAGGGCCAGGGCUCCCUGAAGAUAGGCGUUUCUUUGACUGGCUGAAUAGUGACUCCUUGUCUCAGGGCAGUGAUGAAGCCCUUUCCUUCUCUUUCUCCCACUAUUCAUUUGUGUGGGUAUCCUUCAGAUUGCAGUGUGAACCUAACUGGCAAAGCAUAAUGGCGUGAUUAAAUGGCAUUAAGAACUCAGACAAGAUUAAGUUAAAAUGUGAGUGAUGACAUUAUAUUUGAGGCAUACCGUGCAACAGCAAACUUAAAGCAGUUGCUCAGACCCCGAGUCGGCCAAAUAUUAGACGCUUAAAAUAAUACAGUUUACACCUGGUCAGUAAAUAUUUCAUGUGGUUCUGCCUUACCAGGAGGGGUACCGGGCUCUGAUUUAAUUCCCAGGAAGGUCAGAAUGCUGUCAGUGUUCCUUGUGAUUCACUGAGGAGUGCUAGCUGGGAUGAGCGUUUCCAAGCCCCUUAUCCAGCUGUAGUUGCCACUGUGUUGCUCUGUAACUUGCUAUUUGAGUCUUGCUGGUUGCUGUACUUUGGUUGCAAAAGUACUUUUUCAAGAAUUGUUUUCAAUAAUUUCAGUAUCUCUUAACUCCUCAGGCUGAGCUACUUUUUUAUUAACGGUGUUCUUUACUGCAUCUUGUGGGCGUACAGCCUUAUCCUUGAAGAUGGCUUUCUGCUGCGUCCUAACUGUGCAAGUUCAUCUCUUCAAGUUAGAACUUAAAGGACCACUUGAGACAGGACCAGUAGCCCUGCAAGACCAGCGGGCAGUGAUGGGAAAUUUACCAACACAGGAAUGGGAAGAAGAUACAUCAGAAAAACAGCUGUUGGCAUCUCCUUGCAUAGGAAAAUCCAAAUUGCAGGUAUUGGGAUGUUCAGUCUCCAGGGUUCAGCUUUUUAACAUUUUAUAUAGCACAGCUGAUGGCUGACAACUCAGAUGUGUACUUGAAGUCUUGCCUCCUUUUUUUACUGAGAGUGUACUGGAAACAGACUUUGUUUCUGGCUCUCCAGUACAACUACUGCAAAGGGGCGCUCGUAAAGGCUUCACAGUUGUAUGUGCUGGAAUGGGAACCGCAGUAAGUCAUAUAUUGAAAACACUGAUUCCACUUAACUCCAAGGAGGAUGGAAAUAUUAUCAAACACUAAAUAAAAUGUGCCAGAACAGAAAUAACCAUACUUUCCCAUAUUUGAAGGAAAAACAGUGGAUUUGUGUUGAAGUUGCAGCAUUAACACAGCACUGAAGCAGUUACCUGGAAAACUGAUCCUGCAACAGCAGCCUGAGAAGUGAGGAACUGUUACCAGGAAGAUCUGAAGUAGUUUUAAGAUUUCACCAUCUAUGCAGUUGAGUUGGAUGAUUAAAAAAACCCUGUAUUGAUGUAGUUCAUAAGAAGAAAAAACAGUGAAUAAAACAAAAUGAAAAGAUGGGUUUUUUUGAUGCCAUGAGGUUCCAACACUGCCUUGUAACAUA